ACGCUCGACACCUACGGGAGGCAGCAGUGGGGAAUAUUGCACAAUGGGGGAAACCCUGAUGCAGCGACGCCGCGUGAAGGAAGAAGUAUUUCGGUAUGUAAACUUCUAUCAGCAGGGAAGAAAAUGACGGUACCUGACUAAGAAGCCCCGGCUAACUACGUGUCAGCAGCCGCGGUAAUCUGAGCGGGCUGGCAAGGC
This 198-nucleotide ribosomal RNA is filed under the name uncultured bacterium. RNAcentral describes it as "partial 16S ribosomal RNA". It matches the Rfam family "Bacterial small subunit ribosomal RNA", at positions 328 to 539 of the family's 1533-position model. The record is from RNAcentral.